This 488-nucleotide ribosomal RNA is filed under the name uncultured bacterium. Its description in RNAcentral is "partial 16S ribosomal RNA". It matches the Rfam family "Bacterial small subunit ribosomal RNA", at positions 28 to 507 of the family's 1533-position model. The record is from RNAcentral.
GACGAACGCUGGCGGCGUGCUUAACACAUGCAAGUCGAACGAAAAUACCAAGCUUGCUUGGUUGAUUAGUGGCGAACGGGUGAGUAACACGUGAGUAACCUGCCCCUUACUUUCCUGGAUAACUGCUCGAAAGGGUAGCUAAUACGGGAUAUUCUGACCAGCCUGCAUGGGUUGGUUUGGAAAGGUUGUUUUUCUGGUAAGGGAUGGGCUCGCGGCCUAUCAGCUUGUUGGUGGGGUGAUGGCCUACCAAGGCUUUGACGGGUAGCCGGCCUGCGAGGGUGGACGGUCACACUGGGACUGAGAUACGGCCCAGACUCCUACGGGAGGCAGCAGUGGGGAAUAUUGCACAAUGGGCGCAAGCCUGAUGCAGCGACGCCGCGUGAGGGAUGAAGGCCUUCGGGUUGUAAACCUCUUUCGUCAGGGAACAAGGCACUGCUUUUUUGGUGGUGUUGAGGGUACCUGGAUAAGAAGCGCCGGCUAACUACGUG